AUGGAGAUGAAACCCAAAAGAUUUUCGUUGGGGCGUAACCCUCUCAGCGACGCGCCACAUCGGAACCCGGGUGUGGUGGAAAAUGGGCAAGGGCCAGGCCGUCACCCCCCAGGUGGCGCGCCGUAUCUUGAUCCGGAUACGGUGGCAAGUGAGCGAGGAUCGGGUCGUCGCAUCCUUAGUGGCGCGCUACAUCGGCGCCCGGAUGUAGUGGAAAAUGAGCAAGGGUCUUCGCAUUUGACUCGACGAGUGCGAAGGGUAAGGAAGCUAGCCGAGCCUAGGAGGAUUCGCUUAGGUAGCUGGAACGUAGGGUCUCUGACAGGGAAGCUUCGGGAGCUAGUUGAUGCAGCGGUGAGGAGAGGUGUUGAUAUCCUUUGCGUCCAAGAAACCAAAUGGAGAGGACAGAAGGCGAAGGAGGUGGAGGAUACCGGCUUCAAGCUAUGGUACACGGGGACGGCUGCAAACAGAAAUGGCGUAGGCAUCUUGAUCAACAAGAGCCUCAAGUAUGGAGUGGUAGACGUCAAGAGACGUGGGGAUCGGAUUAUCCUGGUCAAGCUGGUAGUUGAGGACUUGGUUCUCAAUGUUAUCAGCGCGUAUGCCCCGCAAGUAGGCCACAAUGAGAACACCAAGAGGGAGUUCUGGGAAGGCCUGGAAGACAUGGUUAGGAGUGUACCGAUUGGUGAGAAGCUCUUCAUAGGAGGAGACCUCAAUGGCCACGUGGGUACAUCUAACACAGGUUUUGAAGGGGCGCAUGGGGGCUUUGGGUAUGGCAUCAGGAAUCAAGAAGGAGACGAUGUCUUAAGCUUUGCUCUAGCCUACAACAUGAUUGUAGCCAACACCCUCUUUAGAAAGAGAGAAUCACAUCUGGUGACUUUUAGUAGUGGCCAACACUCUAGCCAGAUUGAUUUCAUCCUCUCGAGAAGGGAACAUAGGCGUGCGUGCCUAGACUGUAAGGUGAUACCUGGAGAGAGUGUUGUACCCCAGCAUAAGCUGGUGGUUGCUGACUUCCGCUUUCGGAUUCGUGUCCAGCGGGAUAAGCGGGCUAAAGUCGCUAGAACGAAGUGGUGGAAGCUCAAGGGGGAGGUAGCUCAGGCGUUCAAGGAGAGGGUCAUUAAGGAGGGCCCUUGGGAGGAAGGAGGGGAUGCGGACAAUGUGUGGAUGAAGAUGGCGACUUGCAUUCGUAAGGUGGCCUCAGAGGAGUUUGGAGUGUCCAGGGGAAGGAGAAGCGAAGAUAAGAAUACCUGGUGGUGGAAUGAUGAUGUCCAGAAGGCGAUUAAAGAGAAGAAAGAUUGCUUUAGACGCCUAUACCUGGAUAGGAGUGCACACAACAUAGAGAAGUACAAGAUGGCGAAGAAGGCCGCAAAGCGAGCUGUUGGUGAAGCAAGGGGUCGGGCGUAUGAGGACCUCUACCAACGGUUAGGCACAAAGGAAGGCGAAAGGGACAUCUAUAAGAUGGCCAAGAUCCGAGAGAGGAAGACGAGGGAUAUUGGCCAAGUCAAAUGCAUCAAGGACGGAGCAGGCCAACUCUUGGUGAAGGACGAGGAGAUUAAGCAUAGAUGGCGGGAGUACUUCGACAAGCUGUUCAAUGGGGAGAAUGAAAGCUCUACCAUUGAACUGGACGACUCUUUUGAUGAGACCAGCAUGCGUUUUGUGCGUCGAAUCCAGGAGUCUGAGGUCAAGGAGGCUUUAAAAAGGAUGAAGGGAGGCAAGGCGAUGGGCCCGGAUUGUAUCCCCAUUGAGGUGUGGAAAGGUCUCGGGGACAUAGCGAUAGUAUGGCUAACCAGGCUUUUCAAUCUCAUUUUUCGGGCAAACAAGAUGCCAGAAGAAUGGAGACGGAGUAUAUUAGUACCAAUCUUCAAGAACAAGGGGGAUGUUCAGAGUUGUACUAAUUACCGUGGAAUUAAGCUGAUGAGCCAUACAAUGAAGCUAUGGGAGAGAGUCAUUGAGCACCGCUUAAGAAGAAUGACAAGCGUGACCAAAAACCAGUUUGGUUUCAUGCCUGGGAGGUCGACCAUGGAAGCCAUUUUCUUGGUACGACAGCUUAUGGAGAGAUAUAGGGAGCAAAAGAAGGACUUGCAUAUGGUGUUCAUUGACUUGGAGAAGGCCUAUGAUAAGAUACCGCGAAAUGUCAUGUGGUGGGCCUUGGAGGAACACAAAGUCCCAGCAAAGUACAUUACCCUCAUCAAGGACAUGUACGAUAAUGUUGUGACAAGUGUUCGAACAAGUGAUGUCGACACUGAUGACUUCCCGAUUAAGAUAGGACUGCAUCAGGGGUCAGCUUUGAGCCCUUAUCUUUUUGCAUUGGUGAUGGAUGAGGUCACAAGGGAUAUACAAGGAGAUAUCCCAUGGUGUAUGCUCUUUGCGGAUGAUGUGGUGCUAGUUGACGAUAGUCGGGCGGGGGUAAAUAGGAAGUUAGAGUUAUGGAGACAAACCUUGGAAUCGAAAGGGUUUAGGCUUAGUAGGACUAAAACCGAGUACAUGAUGUGCGGUUUUAGUACUACUAGGUGUGAGGAGGAGGAGGUUAGCCUUGAUGGUCAGGUGGUACCUCGGAAGGACACCUUUCGGUAUUUGGGGUCAAUGCUGCAGGAGGAUGGGGGUAUUGAUGAAGAUGUGAACCAUCGGAUCAAAGCUGGAUGGAUGAAGUGGCGCCAAGCUUCUGGCAUUCUCUGUGACAAGAGAGUGCCACAAAAGCUAAAAGGCAAGUUCUACAGGACGGCGGUUCGACCCGCAAUGUUGUAUGGCGCUGAGUGUUGGCCGACUAAAAGGCGACAUGUUCAACAGUUAGGUGUGGCGGAGAUGCGUAUGUUGAGAUGGAUGUGUGGCCACACGAGGAAGGAUCGAGUCCGGAAUGAUGAUAUACGAGAUAGAGUUGGGGUAGCACCAAUUGAAGAGAAGCUUGUCCAACAUCGUCUGAGAUGGUUUGGGCAUAUCCAGCGCAGGCCUCCAGAAGCUCCAGUGCAUAGCGGAUGGCUAAAGCGUGCGGAGAAUGUCAAGAGAGGGCGGGGUAGACCGAAUUUGACAUGGGAGGAGUCAGUUAAGAGAGACCUGAAGGAUUGGGGUAUCACCAAAGAGCUAGCUAUGGACAGGGGUGCAUGGAAGCUUGCUAUCCAUGUGCCAGAGCCAUGA
This 3123-nucleotide ribosomal RNA is filed under the name Triticum aestivum (bread wheat). Its description in RNAcentral is "partial small subunit ribosomal RNA". The record is from RNAcentral. Lineage: Eukaryota; Viridiplantae; Streptophyta; Magnoliopsida; Poales; Poaceae.